Molecule: ribosomal RNA, 904 nt
Filed under: uncultured archaeon
Lineage: Archaea
Description: bacterial SSU rRNA
Rfam family: Archaeal small subunit ribosomal RNA
Source: RNAcentral
UGUGGCAUACGGCUCAGUAACACGUAGUCAACAUGCCCAGGGGACGUGGAUAACCUCGGGAAACUGAGGAUAAACCGCGAUAGGUCAUUACUUCUGGAAUGGGUAAUGACUUAAAUCUAUAUGGCCCCUGGAUUGGACUGCGGCCGAUCAGGCUGUUGGUGAGGUAAUGGCCCACCAAACCUGUAACCGGUACGGGCUCUGAGAGGAGGAGCCCGGAGAUGGGCACUGAGACAAGGGCCCAGGCCCUAUGGGGCGCAGCAGGCGCGAAACCUCUGCAAUAGGCGAAAGCUUGACAGGGUUACUCUGAGUGAUUUCCGUUAAGGAGAUCUUUUGGCACCUCUAAAAAUGGUGCAGAAUAAGGGGUGGGCAAGUCUGGUGUCAGCCGCCGCGGUAAUACCAGCACCCCGAGUGGUCGGGACGUUUAUUGGGCCUAAAGCAUCCGUAGCCGGUUCUACAAGUCUUCCGUUAAAUCCACCUGCUUAACAGAUGGGCUGCGGAAGAUACUAUAGAGCUAGGAGGCGGGAGAGGCAAGCGGUACUCGAUGGGUAGGGGUAAAAUCCGUUGAUCCAUUGAAGACCACCAGUGGCGAAGGCGGCUUGCCAGAACGCGCUCGACGGUGAGGGAUGAAAGCUGGGGGAGCAAACCGGAUUAGAUACCCGGGUAGUCCCAGCUGUAAACGAUGCAGACUCGGUGAUGAAUUGGCUUAUUGCUAAUUCAGUGCCGCAGGGAAGCCGUUAAGUUUGCCGCCUGGGGAGUACGGUCGCAAGACUGAAACUUAAAGGAAUUGGCGGGGGAGCACCACAAGGGGUGAAGCCUGCGGUUCAAUUGGAGUCAACGCCGGAAAUCUUACCGGGGGCGACAGCAGAGUGAAGGUCAAGCUGAAGACUUUACCAGACAAGCUGAG